Triticum aestivum (bread wheat) is the source of this 878-nucleotide long non-coding RNA. RefSeq lists it as uncharacterized. NCBI's taxonomy places the organism in Eukaryota, Viridiplantae, Streptophyta, Magnoliopsida, Poales, Poaceae. The record is from RefSeq and is a predicted model, not a curated record. The transcript is spliced from 4 exons.
AAAAGAAAUGGACUAAACUAAAGCAUUCCCGGGAGUUGAUGCUGUUGUUAUUGAGCUGCUGCUGUUGUCAUUAACCUGCUGUUGCUGCUAUUGUAGGAGAAGAAGGAGCACGCCCAGGAGAAGGAGUAAGCCCAGGAGAAAAAGAACGAGUAGGAGAAGAAGACCCUGGAUUGCUGUUGCUGGAGUGUUGAGGACCUGGGAUCUGUGACGGCCCUGCACCGGCUCCCACUCGCGAACGUCGCGCGGGCGGCCUGCGUCUGCCGCCUCUGCCGCGCCGUCGCCUCUGACCGCGCCGUGCUGGAGGCCGCCUUUCGUGCGCCCUGGGGCGUGCGCCGCGUCCUCGGCGACCCGGCCACCAGGGCCUUCUGGUGUGCUGCCUCCCUCGCCCGAUUCGCUCUCUCGCGCGCCGCUCGUCGCGGGGACACCGUCCCCGGCAUCGUGCUCAAGUAUUUUGUCUAGUUGUGCAGCAAAAUCUGGCUCAAGCCCGGAAGGAGCAGCAAGCUGCUGUAUUGGUGCUAUAGCAGAGGGAUGGGCCUCCUAGCAAAGCUUGCUGGGGGCAUUUUCAGGAUACGAUUGAUGCCUUGAAGAAGUCAGCUCCCCUUGGAUGGUGCAGUGCAGCAAAUCAAUGUCGAUUCAUUCAUUCUUUAAUGCUGGUUUUCAUUCUUCAAAAGUUGGGUGUACAGGAGCUCUAAGAAGAAGAAUCCCGAAGAAAAAACACACCCGGCAAUGCGUUUUAGCUCAUUGGAGAUAGUUAUGUGUGAAUCUAGUUAUGUGUAUAUUUAGUUGUAUUUUAUAGCUGAAUACCAUAAUUGUACUAUGCUUGGCUGUUGUAUGAAAUAUUAUGCCUUAUUGGCUCCUUUUGAAUCAAAUUAUCUAAU